This 253-nucleotide ribosomal RNA is filed under the name uncultured bacterium. RNAcentral's name for it is "partial 16S ribosomal RNA". It matches the Rfam family "Bacterial small subunit ribosomal RNA", at positions 524 to 776 of the family's 1533-position model. The record is from RNAcentral.
UACGGGGGGGGCAAGCGUUGUUCGGAAUUACUGGGCGUAAAGGGCUCGUAGGCGGCCAACUAAGUCGGAUGUGAAAUCCCCAAGCUUAACUUGGGAACUGCAUCCGAUACUGGAUGGCUUGAGUUCGGGAGAGGGAUGCGGAAUUCCAGGUGUAGCGGUGAAAUGCGUAGAUAUCUGGAGGAACACCGGUGGCGAAGGCGGCAUCCUGGACCGAUACUGACGCUGAGGAGCGAAAGCCAGGGGAGCAAACGGG